Molecule: long non-coding RNA, 1415 nt
Filed under: Apteryx rowi (Okarito brown kiwi)
Lineage: Eukaryota; Metazoa; Chordata; Aves; Apterygiformes; Apterygidae
Description: lncRNA (ENSARWG00000005843.1)
Source: RNAcentral
CGCCGGGAUGCUCCUGGAAACCCCAGGGUCGCGCCAGAGGUGUCGGUAUCUUUUUCGUGGGGGUUGAGUGGUUUUUUGUUUGUUUUUUGUUUUGUUUUGUUUUGUUUUAACUUGACUCUGAAGGGAGUGAGGCCCAGACAGCGGUGCUGCGAGAAGGCCUCCCUCCUCUUGUUUUUCUUUUUUUUUUUUUCAGGUGGACGUUGGCCAGUUUUAACCGAAUUUGGCAGAAGGGGUGGCAGCUGCAAGCUCUCACAUCUUUUCUAAAUAUGAGCGGCCCAAGGGAAAGGAGAGACAAUAGCCAGGUCUCCUUCCUCACCUCCGAUUACAGGAAGAAAGCUGGAGGGUGAAUUCAACCAUUGUUAGGCACCAGAAAAUCCACUUCUCCGUUAAGGUUUCUGAGGUGUGCGCUUUCCUGAUCACACAUAAGGAGGGGUGUUGGAGAAUGAAAUGAGUUCCCAUACUCUUUUCCUUGGAAUAUCUCAAAAACUCAAUCAUGGGCAUGCAUCCACUGGAAACACUUCCUGCACUGCAGCCACGUCACCAGUGCACAGCCAGGAUUGACUAUGCCAAUAUAGAGGGCAACAUUAUAAAGACAGAGGGAGAAGUACAAAGGAGAGCAGCUACAUUGAGUUUUUCAAGACUCUGGAGCAGAGCUAUCAUUGUAUCACUUUUGACAAGAACAGAGGUUAAACUAGAAGAACAAUGAUUGAUGCAGUGACAAGAUUUGCAGAGCUGCCUUUGACCAUUAAAUACCUUCCCAUCCCCAAAUGCGUACCCAAAGUAAAUCAUAGCUUAUUCCUUCUCAGACAAGUUUCUUGUAGUUUGUUUGGUGGCAUGUUCCUCAGGAAGAAAAAAGUACCUCUUUGAAUUGAUACAACUUCCCCACCUAUGAAUUAUAUAUAAGCAAAAUUGUAUUUUCUCCUUCGUUAGAAGAAUUUUCUGCUAAUGGAAAAGUAGCUUUUCAUUUAGAAAAUCAAAUAUCUCCAAUGUAAGAAAGGGUUACAUGAAACCUCAGGGCACAUAAGGCAACUGACUCCUCUUCACCUCCCAAAUACCCUAAUUAAAGGUAAGGCUAGAACUCUGUUUUGUUAAAUGUCAUUGUAACAUAAUAGUAUAUGAACUAUUCCACCUACAAUUUAUGAUUGCUUUGUGCGUUGGACCUGUAAUAAGCUCCCUUUAAGCAGUUCCUAUGGUUUCUGAACACCUGCAGGACUCAGAGCACACGGAUUUAUGACAGUUGUGGGGCUUUAGAUAUAGCAGUUUCAGUGAGCUGCCUUUGCUAACAUGUGAUGUAUUGUGCUGUGGAAACUUUACACUUACAAUUUUUAGGUGUCAGUCAUUAGAUUUUUUUUUUUUAGUAAAAAAUUAUAUCCAUCAAUUGUGUUAAUUUGAAUUGCAACAUCAUUUUGUAAUCU